RNAcentral lists this ribosomal RNA (493 nucleotides) under uncultured bacterium. RNAcentral describes it as "bacterial SSU rRNA". It matches the Rfam family "Bacterial small subunit ribosomal RNA", at positions 28 to 507 of the family's 1533-position model. The record is from RNAcentral.
GAUGAACGCUAGCUACAGGCUUAACACAUGCAAGUCGAGGGGAAACGACAUCGAAAGCUUGCUUUUGAUGGGUGUCGACCGGCGCACGGGUGAGUAACGCGUAUCCAACCUGCCCACCGCUUGGGGAUAACCUUGCGAAAGUAAGACUAAUACCCAAUGAUAUCCCACGAAGGCAUCCGAAUGGGAUUAAAGAUUUAUCGGUGAUGGAUGGGGAUGCGUCUGAUUAGCUUGUUGGCGGGGUAACGGCCCACCAAGGCGACGAUCAGUAGGGGUUCUGAGAGGAAGGUCCCCCCACAUUGGAACUGAGACACGGUCCAAAACUCCUACGGGAGGCAGCAGUGAGGAAUAUUGGUCAAUGGACGAGAGUCUGAACCAGCCAAGUAGCGUGCAGGACGACGGCCCUAUGGGUUGUAAACUGCUUUAUAAGGGAAUAAAGUGAGCCACGUGUGGUUUUUUGCAUGUACCCUAUGAAUAAGGACCGGCUAAUUCCGUG